This 253-nucleotide ribosomal RNA is filed under the name uncultured bacterium. RNAcentral describes it as "partial 16S ribosomal RNA". It matches the Rfam family "Bacterial small subunit ribosomal RNA", at positions 524 to 776 of the family's 1533-position model. The record is from RNAcentral.
UACGAAGGGGGCGAGCGUUGUUCGGAAUUACUGGGCGUAAAGGGCGCGUAGGCGGUGUGUCAAGUCAGGCGUGAAAGCCCCGGGCUCAACCUGGGAACGGCGCUUGAGACUGGCAUGCUCGAGUUCGGGAGAGGAUGGUGGAAUUCCCAGUGUAGAGGUGAAAUUCGUAGAUAUUGGGAAGAACACCGAUGGCGAAGGCAGCCAUCUGGACCGACACUGACGCUGAGGCGCGAAAGCGUGGGGAGCAAACAGG